RNAcentral lists this ribosomal RNA (631 nucleotides) under uncultured fungus. RNAcentral's name for it is "eukaryotic LSU rRNA". It matches the Rfam family "Eukaryotic large subunit ribosomal RNA", at positions 40 to 647 of the family's 3401-position model. The record is from RNAcentral. Lineage: Eukaryota; Fungi.
AUAUCAAUAAGCGGAGGAAAAGAAACUAACAAGGAUUCCCUUAGUAACUGCGAGUGAAGAGGGAAGAGCUCAAAUUUAAAAUCUGGCAGUGUCUUGCUGUCCGAGUUGUAAUCUAGAGAAGUGCUGCCCGUGCUGGACCAUGUACAAGUCUCCUGGAAUGGAGCGUCACAGAGGGUGAGAAUCCCGUCUUUGACAUGGACUACCAGUGCAUUUGUGGUGUGCUCUCAAAGAGUCGAGUUGUUUGGGAAUGCAGCUCUAAAUGGGUGGUAAACUCCAUCUAAAGCUAAAUAUUGGCGAGAGACCGAUAGCGAACAAGUACCGUGAGGGAAAGAUGAAAAGAACUUUGGAAAGAGAGUUAAACAGUAUGUGAAAUUGUUGAAAGGGAAACGCUUAAAGUCAGUCGUGUCGGCCAGGGAUCAACUCAGCUUUCUUUGCUGGGUGUACUUCCUGAUCUGAUGGGCCAACAUCAGUUUUGACUGCUGGAGAAGGAUAGAGGGAAUGUGGCACCUUUGGGUGUGUUAUAGCUCUCUGUCAGAUGCAGUGGUUGGGACUGAGGAUUGCAGCAUGCCGCAAGGCCGGGUCGUUUCGACUACGUUCAUGCUGAGGAUGUUGGCAUAAUGGCUUUAAUCGA